RNAcentral lists this ribosomal RNA (678 nucleotides) under Paracoccaceae bacterium. RNAcentral's name for it is "bacterial SSU rRNA". It matches the Rfam family "Bacterial small subunit ribosomal RNA", at positions 28 to 750 of the family's 1533-position model. Lineage: Bacteria; Pseudomonadati; Pseudomonadota; Alphaproteobacteria; Rhodobacterales; Paracoccaceae. The record is from RNAcentral.
AACGAACGCUGGCGGCACGCCUAACACAUGCAAGUCGAGCGCUUCACUUCGGUGAGGAGCGGCGGACGGGUUAGUAACGCGUGGGAACAUACCCUUUUCUAAGGAAUAGCCACUGGAAACGGUGAGUAAUACCUUAUACGCCCUUCGGGGGAAAGAUUUAUCGGUGAAGGAUUGGCCCGCGUUAGAUUAGUUUGUUGGUGGGGUAAUGGCCUACCAAGACUACGAUCUAUAGCUGGUUUGAGAGGAUGAUCAGCAACACUGGGACUGAGACACGGCCCAGACUCCUACGGGAGGCAGCAGUGGGGAAUCUUAGACAAUGGGCGCAAGCCUGAUCUAGCGAUGCCGCGUGAGUGAUGAAGGCCUUAGGGUCGUAAAGCUCUUUCGCCAGGGAUGAUAAUGACAGUACCUGGUAAAGAAACCCCGGCUAACUCCGUGCCAGCAGCCGCGGUAAUACGGAGGGGGUUAGCGUUGUUCGGAAUUACUGGGCGUAAAGCGUACGUAGGCGGAUCAGAAAGUAAGGGGUGAAAUCCCAGGGCUCAACCCUGGAACUGCCUCUUAAACUCCUGGUCUUGAGUUCGAGAGAGGUGAGUGGAAUUCCAAGUGUAGAGGUGAAAUUCGUAGAUAUUUGGAGGAACACCAGUGGCGAAGGCGGCUCACUGGCUCGAUACUGACGCUGAG